This 576-nucleotide ribosomal RNA is filed under the name Thermoactinomyces vulgaris. Its description in RNAcentral is "bacterial SSU rRNA". It matches the Rfam family "Bacterial small subunit ribosomal RNA", at positions 1 to 565 of the family's 1533-position model. The record is from RNAcentral. Lineage: Bacteria; Bacillati; Bacillota; Bacilli; Caryophanales; Thermoactinomycetaceae.
UAGAGUUUGAUCCUGGCUCAGGAUGAACGCUGGCGGCGUGCCUAAUACAUGCAAGUCGAGCGGGAAAUCAUCCUUCGGGAUGAGGAUCCAGCGGCGAACGGGUGAGUAACACGUGGGCAACCUGCCCGCAAGACCGGGAUAACUCCGGGAAACCGGGGCUAAUACCGGAUAGUCCUUUUCCCCGCAUGGGGAAAAGGGGAAAGGCGGCUUCGGCUGUCACUUGCGGAUGGGCCCGCGGCGCAUUAGCUGGUUGGUGAGGUAACGGCUCACCAAGGCGACGAUGCGUAGCCGACCUGAGAGGGUGAUCGGCCACACUGGGACUGAGACACGGCCCAGACUCCUACGGGAGGCAGCAGUAGGGAAUUUUCCGCAAUGGGCGAAAGCCUGACGGAGCAACGCCGCGUGAGUGAGGACGGCCUUCGGGUUGUAAAACUCUGUUCUUGAGGAAGAAUUCCUUCCAGGCGAACAGCCUGGAAGGUUGACGGUACUCAAGGAGAAAGCCCCGGCUAACUACGUGCCAGCAGCCGCGGUAAUACGUAGGGGGCGAGCGUUAUCCGGAAUUAUUUGGGCGUAAAG